UUCUCAAGCUAGUUUCAUGUCUUGAAGUUAACAUUCAAUGGCUAUACAGGGGAUAAGCAACUUAGAUUAGUAGUGGUAGAUUCACUCCAAUUUUGCAAAACUCUCUUUGAAUUUCAACCUAUUCUUAAGCGGAGGGAUGUAAAUAGCUACCGGCUAGAUGUAAUAUUUUUAUAUGAAGAGCGGAUAUGAGCCAUAUUGCAAUUGUGAAAGCCUUGAAGAAAAGGAACGUUCAUAUAGAAGAUUCUACUUACUUGUGUAGAGAUGGUGAAGAUUCGGUUCACCACAUCUUUACUACGUGCUUUGUUGCUUCUGUGGUUUAGGCUCAUAUAAGUAUGUGGUGCAAGAUCACUAAUCUGUUUUUCUUUGCUUUCAAGGAUAUUUUAGAGAUACACGAUUAUGUUGGCUUAAAAGAUGCUGAUUAGGAGGUGUUUAAAGGGAUUCUUAGGAUCGGUUGCUGGAGUAUUUGGAGGGCCAGGAAUGAGGCACGAUUUAACAACAAAGAGGUAAAGAUCGAAGAAAUUAUUAGCGAAAUAAAGGCAGUAGGUUACCUUUGGUUUAAGAAUAGGUUGAAAUUCAAAGAGAUCUCUUGACAAAAUUAAUGUAAAUUUGUAAUUAUGUAAGUUGUGGUUGUUCAGCGUCUCGGUUUGAGGUUGCCUUUUUCUAAUGAAAUUUACAUUUAAAAAAAACAAUUCAUUGAUUAGAGCCGAUCUGUAUUGAAGAAUAAUAAUUAUAAACUUUUAUAAUUUCACAUGACAUCAUGACUUCAUCUUGGGGUAAUAGUAAUCGGUUUUAAAAAUUUUACUAGGCACAUUUUGGGGGUGAUGAUCCUCCCGGUUUUUACCCAGCAACCAUUAUUCUUGAUUGUGAACGGGUUACAUUGUUAAACCGUGCAUGUUAAAAGGGCUAAUGUGCCACCAACCCCAAUGGUGA
RNAcentral lists this long non-coding RNA (930 nucleotides) under Helianthus annuus (common sunflower). RNAcentral's name for it is "hypothetical non coding rna". Lineage: Eukaryota; Viridiplantae; Streptophyta; Magnoliopsida; Asterales; Asteraceae. The record is from RNAcentral.